This 472-nucleotide ribosomal RNA is filed under the name uncultured Glomus. RNAcentral describes it as "SSU rRNA". It matches the Rfam family "Eukaryotic small subunit ribosomal RNA", at positions 569 to 1046 of the family's 1831-position model. The record is from RNAcentral. Lineage: Eukaryota; Fungi; Glomeromycota; Glomeromycetes; Glomerales; Glomeraceae.
AGCAGCCGCGGUAAUUCCAGCUCCAAUAGCGUAUAUUAAAGUUGUUGCAGUUAAAAAGCUCGUAGUUGAAUUUCGGGGUUAGUAGAUUGGUCGUGCCUCCGGUAUGUACUGGUCUUACUGAUUCCUCCUUCUUGAAGAACUGUGAUGCCAUUAAUUUGGCGUUGCAGGGAAACAGGACUGUUACUUUGAAAAAUUAGAGUGUUUAAAGCAGGCAAUCGCUUGAAUACAUUAGCAUGGAAUAAUGAAAUAGGACGUUCGAUCCUAUUUUGUUGGUUUCUAGGAUUGACGUAAUGAUUAAUAGGGAUAGUUGGGGGCAUUAGUAUUCAAUUGUCAGAGGUGAAAUUCUUGGAUUUAUUGAAGACUAACUACUGCGAAAGCAUUUGCCAAGGAUGUUUUCAUUAAUCAAGAACGAAAGCUAGGGGAUCGAAGACGAUCAGAUACCGUCGUAGUCUUAACCAUAAACUAUGCCGAC